Molecule: ribosomal RNA, 161 nt
Filed under: uncultured bacterium
Lineage: Bacteria
Description: partial 16S ribosomal RNA
Rfam family: Bacterial small subunit ribosomal RNA
Source: RNAcentral
UGGGGAAUCUUGGACAAUGGGCGAAAGCCUGAUCCAGCAAUGCCGCGUGCGUGAAGAAGGCCUUCGGGUUGUAAAGCGCUUUUGUCGGGGAGGAAAUCCUAGUCUCUAAUAAAGGCUGGGGAUGACAGUACCCGAAGAAUAAGGACCGGCUAACUACGUGC